UACGAGGGGGGCGAGCGUUGUUCGGAAUUAUUGGGCGUAAAGGGUGCGUAGGCGGCGCGGUAAGUCGGAUGUGAAAUCUCGGAGCUUAACUCCGAAACUGCAUUCGAUACUGCCGUGCUUGAGGACUGGAGAGGAGACUGGAAUUUACGGUGUAGCGGUGAAAUGCGUAGAUAUCGUAAGGAAGACCAGUGGCGAAGGCGGGUCUCUGGACAGUUCCUGACGCUGAGGCACGAAGGCCAGGGGAGCAAACGGG
RNAcentral lists this ribosomal RNA (253 nucleotides) under uncultured bacterium. Its description in RNAcentral is "partial 16S ribosomal RNA". It matches the Rfam family "Bacterial small subunit ribosomal RNA", at positions 524 to 776 of the family's 1533-position model. The record is from RNAcentral.